Molecule: long non-coding RNA, 377 nt
Filed under: Olea europaea subsp. europaea
Lineage: Eukaryota; Viridiplantae; Streptophyta; Magnoliopsida; Lamiales; Oleaceae
Source: RNAcentral
AUGACAGGUGUGACAACACCCAACAGGAACCAUAGCCUUUUACUUUGAAAACCAUGGAAGGCAUCAGCUGCCAUUGCAAGGGAGCAGAGUACAGAAGCUGCUACAAUAGACAUGCCAAUCCAUGGCAUUGGGGUCUCCAAUUUGUUUUGUAUAUAAUCGAUUUCAUCAUAAACAUAGUCACAGGCAUCCCUGCAUUCAUUCAAUCUGUCACAUAGCGCGCUGCAUUGAAUUGAAUCCAUUAACUUGUCUCUGAAAUUCAUUCUAUUUCUCUCCCAAAAACUUUUAAUCUUGUGAUUCACAAACAUACCAAUCAAUCUGUCCUAGUCAUUCACAUCGAAUGGUGCACAAGGAAAUAUAAGUCUUGUUUCUCUCCUAUU